This 279-nucleotide ribosomal RNA is filed under the name uncultured bacterium. RNAcentral describes it as "partial 16S ribosomal RNA". It matches the Rfam family "Bacterial small subunit ribosomal RNA", at positions 506 to 784 of the family's 1533-position model. The record is from RNAcentral.
UGCCAGCCGCCGCGGUAAUACAGAGGGUGCAAGCGUUGUUCGGAAUUACUGGGCGUAAAGGGCGUGUAGGCGGCCUGACAAGUCAGAUGUGAAAUCCCGGGGCUUAACUCCGGAAGUGCAUUUGAAACUGUUAGGCUAGAGUGUAGUAGAGGUUGGUGGAAUUCCCAGUGUAGAGGUGAAAUUCGUAGAUAUUGGGAGGAACACCGGUGGCGAAGGCGGCCAACUGGGCUACAACUGACGCUGAGACGCGAAAGCGUGGGGAGCAAACAGGAUUAGAUA